UUCCAGGUGGCUCAGUGGUAAAGAGUCUGCCUGUAAUGCAGGAGACACAGGUUCGAUCCCUGGGUUGGGAA
RNAcentral lists this transfer RNA (71 nucleotides) under Bos taurus (domestic cattle). It matches the Rfam family "tRNA". From Rfam's summary of the family: Transfer RNA (tRNA) molecules are approximately 80 nucleotides in length. Lineage: Eukaryota; Metazoa; Chordata; Mammalia; Artiodactyla; Bovidae. RNAcentral also lists the same sequence under 1 other name. The record is from Rfam by way of RNAcentral.